UUCUUUAAAAAAACAUUUUCUUUCAGUCAAACGAGCACUGGACUUAUCUACACAGAUUUCUCUCCUAAAAAACGUUUAUUUGGGAGUCAAGACCGUGGACAUGCUGACAAUCAUGAUCACUGUAGCAAUAGAGAAAUGGUGCAGAUUGUUCCUGUGGUUACACCAUUUCAACCUGGGGUGAACAUGCCUGCUGCACCUGUAAUGCACCUUCAGGGUCAUCAUCCUGCCUAUGUUCUAUAAACCAAAAAAAACCCUUCUUAACCCUUGUGUGGUAUUCGGGUCUGUGACAUAUAUCAAAACACAUUUUCGAUAAACACACUCUGUACCAAGGGCUAAUAAACAUUGCUUCAUUUGUAAAUUUUAAACUAAA
Molecule: long non-coding RNA, 370 nt
Filed under: Astyanax mexicanus (Mexican tetra)
Lineage: Eukaryota; Metazoa; Chordata; Actinopteri; Characiformes; Acestrorhamphidae
Description: lncRNA (ENSAMXG00005019313.1)
Source: RNAcentral